GCGGGGGUAGCCAAGCCUGGUCAAAGGCGGCGGCCUCAAGAGCCGCUCCCGCAGGGGUUCGUGGGUUCGAAUCCCACCCCCCGCA
This 85-nucleotide transfer RNA is filed under the name Nitrososphaerota archaeon. RNAcentral's name for it is "tRNA-Leu". It matches the Rfam family "tRNA". From Rfam's summary of the family: Transfer RNA (tRNA) molecules are approximately 80 nucleotides in length. Their secondary structure includes four short double-helical elements and three loops (D, anti-codon, and T loops). The record is from RNAcentral. Lineage: Archaea; Thermoproteati; Nitrososphaerota. RNAcentral also lists the same sequence under 1 other name.